GACGAACGCUGGCGGCGUGGAUUAGGCAUGCAAGUCGGACGUAGGGCUUUAUCGUAAGAUAGAGUUUGAGAGUGGCGAACGGGUGAGUAACACGUAGGAAUCUACCCUUAAGACGGGGACAACCCAGGGAAACUUGGGCUAAUACCGGAUGAGAGUGCGAGAGAUUGCAUUUAAAAGGAUGGCGAAAGUUGUCGCUUAGGGAUGAGCCUGCGGUCUAUUAGUUAGUUGGUGAGGUAAGAGCUCACCAAGGCGAUGAUAGAUAGGCGGCCUUAACGGGUGGUCGCCCACACUGGGAUUGAGAUACGGCCCAGACUCCUACGGGAGGCAGCGGUCGAGAAUAGUCUACAAUGGCCGGAAGGCUGAUAGUGCGACGCCGCGUGAACGAGGGAGCCCUUCGGGGUGUAAAGCCCUGUUGGGGGGGAAGAUAAUGACGGUACCCCCUGAGGAAGCCCCGGCUAACUACGUG
Molecule: ribosomal RNA, 466 nt
Filed under: uncultured bacterium
Lineage: Bacteria
Description: bacterial SSU rRNA
Rfam family: Bacterial small subunit ribosomal RNA
Source: RNAcentral